This 253-nucleotide ribosomal RNA is filed under the name uncultured bacterium. RNAcentral describes it as "partial 16S ribosomal RNA". It matches the Rfam family "Bacterial small subunit ribosomal RNA", at positions 524 to 776 of the family's 1533-position model. The record is from RNAcentral.
UACGGAGGGGGCUAGCGUUGUUCGGAAUUACUGGGCGUAAAGCGCACGUAGGCGGCUUUGUAAGUUAGAGGUGAAAGCCCAGGGCUCAACCCUGGAAUUGCCUUUAAGACUGCAUCGCUUGAACAUCGGAGAGGUAAGUGGAAUUCCGAGUGUAGAGGUGAAAUUCGUAGAUAUUCGGAAGAACACCAGUGGCGAAGGCGACUUACUGGACGAUUGUUGACGCUGAGGUGCGAAAGCGUGGGGAGCGAACAGG